UUUUAUUUUUUUUUAUUUUGUAUUUAGUAAUAGUACUUCACAGAUUAAUCAAUAAUAUACAGAUGUAGCGUACUGAACAAGACGGUGUCGUACCCGUCACGGAUACGAAAUUCAAAAACGAAUACGUUCUCUUGUCAGUACGAUACGAACCGUCUCAUAAGUAAUUUUUAAUAAUAAUCAAGAAAAAUGGCGUCUUAUGUUCUUAAAUAUUUAAAAAAUUGUUCUCAAAAACUAAAGAAAUAAGAUGGAGUAUUUUAUUUGUUAUUGUUGAUUAUUAUAUUAAUUUAAGUAAUUGUUGUUAGUGUUAAAUUUUAAAAUACAUAUUAUGAAAAAAGUUUGUAUAUGCAGAUGUUAAGAAAACGCGUGACUUUUGUUUUUUUUUGUGGGUUGCACCGGCUUCCGCUUUGUAAACACUCUGUGGUUACUCUGUGUAGUAUUUAUGCUUUUUUCUUUUAUUCCUCGUAUUUUUGUAAACGUGGCUAUUGAAUGUUAUGUAUGUCAUAUACAUGCAAUGUUUUAGUAUUUCAAUAAGUCAGUUGUAAUGCAGGUAUUAUUGUUCCGACUUACGUACCUACUAUUCGUAUGCAAUUAAUGUCUGUCUAUGUUCACUAAUAGUAGACAGCACGCAAUGGCAUAUGUGUAAUAUAUUAUAUAUAGCUAACUAUGUUUUAUAAGGACGCUCGUAGCUUCUUUCCCAUUACAUCAAAGGCGACCGUUAGUCUACGAUAUAAUUCUUCGCUAAAUAAAUAUAAAAUACUGUUCUACGCUAAAUAAAUAUAAAAUAUUAUUCUACACUAAAUAAGUAUAAUAUUAUAUUCUACGCCAAAUAAAUAUAAAAUACUAUUUUAUUUGUACCUUCUGGAGACCCUUGGGCCAUAGAGUCGCAGUGCCAAAAGAUUUUACCGAAUCAUUUCACCGCGGUUUCGCGCAAAGGAUCAGCCUGGCUGUCCAGCGCGGAAAUGCAGCCAGUAUUCUUUCCACCAUUCCACGUGGGCAUGAUUUGUAUAGUUAUUAGGAUAAGUUAGCUUAUGUUCCUUAUUGUAUUCUUUCUCAAAUAAAAAAACUACUAUUUUAAAUAAAUAUAAAAUAUUAUUCUACGCUAAAUAAAUAUAAAAUAUUAUUCUACGCUAAAUAAAUAUAAAAUAUUAUUCUACGCUAAAUAAAUAUAAUAUACUAUAUAUUCUCCGAUUUAUCAAUCCGUGCGGCAACGCAACUCCGAUCAAAUUCUCGCAAUACACAUUAUAAUUCCAACUGCAUUAUUGGUGGAGGUUGAUGAUUCAGUGUACUUUCGGAUCCUUUGAGUCAUGAGGUCUUCUGUUCGAGUCCUGGGUAGGGCAAUAAUAAUAUGCAGGUUUACUUAAAACCUCAGCAAUAGGCCGUAUUUGGGAAGUUAUUAGAGUUACCUAUAUCCCUGUGCCUCGUAGAGCACGAUACACAGACCGACGGUCCCGGUAACGAUUUAUACAUUCCAUUGAAAUAUUUAUGUUUUAUGUGGGUUACCAAGAUCUUACAAAAAAUAACAAAUUUAAAAGAUUUUUUGUUGAAAAUAAAAUUAUCUACGACUUUAGUCAAGUAACUUUGUCGCAGAACUAAAAAUAACAAAUUUAGUGUAAAUCGAUAAAAGAUUAACUUUUUUUUGCAAUCAAAAAAUCAUCAGAUCUUUUUUAUAGAUUUUGAUAAAAAAAUAUUUAAGGGAUAAGUAAUUGUUAUCAAAACCAUUUUAAAUUUUUAUUAUUUACAUACAUAAUUAAGGUUUUACAUUGAAAAAAAUAAUAUGCAAACUAUUCGUAUUCGACGUAUUCAUUAUCUCCUACAAGCUCUGCAAAAGAUAGAAAAUCUCAACUAAAUAACAAGUCUUUACUCUGGUAAUAAGCUGGCAUUGGUAGCAACGGUAUCCUAGUGACCUCAGCCGAAAGUACGAGAAAAAUGGCGGCCAUCGAUCCAGACCUUGUUACUCUUACAUAACAGCCUCUGAAAAUAUAUUAUGACUGCCGGAGUAAGUCCCGCACUUACUCGUAAAAUUCUAGCACUGUAAAAGGAUCAUUUUGACAUUAGGCUAGUUGACAUCUUUUUUAAAUGGUUAAUUUAAAUCCGGGUUUAACCUGUGGGUUUAAUAGGUUUUGACGGCCGCGUGGAGCAGUGGGUAGUGACCCUGCUUUCUGCAUCUACGGUUGUGGGUUCGAUUCCUACAACUGGAAAAUAUUUGUGUGAUGAGCAUGGGUGAUUUCCAGUGUCUGUGUGUAUUUAUACAUUAUAUAAGUAUUUAUUAUGUAGUAUAUAAAUGUAUAUGAAUAUUAUAAUAUCAACUAUCCUAGUACCCAUAACACAAGCUACUCUGUAUGCUUACUUUGGGACUAGAAUGUGUAUUGUUUAAGUAUAUUUAUUUAAAAUAAAAAAUAAAAAAAAAAGUAGUGGAGUUGCAUAAGGUUGGGGAAGCUACAUCAGAAAAAAGAAACAAACUGAACUAAAAGACAUACUUAAUCAUUUGUAUGAACAAAAAUAAUAAUAACUUCUGAGAUCUUUUUCAUCAUAAUCAUUUAUCUACCAUUAAGAAAAGAUUUAAAUAAACUUAUAAGGACCGUUAAUCCGAAGGUUGCGCUUGUUUUUCAUUCACCAAUUUCUCCCAUCGUGGAUCCGUUUUUGUUACGUAAUUUAAAGGAUUACUAUCCUUGCUUUUUAUUUGGGCCAUUGACGAAAAUGUCAAGUCAACUCGCACAAGUACACUAAGUACAUGUAUUGGAUUCAAUAUUAGUUACAAAAAAAAAACAUCGGGUAGGGGGCUCGCGACAUAUUUCUUCAUACUAAAAUGGCCGUGGUACGAAUAAGGUUGAGAAACCCUGAUUUAAAUGGUUCAUAAAAAAUUGUUCAUUGUCGUUCUACUACAUUGAAAACUACCCUAUUAUAACGUCACUGCAAUCUUACCCGAGCUACAGACCCCUGGAUUUAACUGACCAGUCAAAUUGUUCAGUUAAAUCGUCUGUGUGACAAAAACUGUACAGUUAAACUGACGGACACUACCGUCAGUUUUAACUGUACAGUUUUUUGUAAUGGUUGUGAUUGAAAUUAGAUGAAACUGUACAGUUAAAACUGAAGGUCUGUAAAAGCGGUGUAUGAAUAAGAAUCAAUCUAACGUUGAAAGCGUAUCAUUUAGGAUUUAUAUUGAUAAAAUUAUUGUGUGUGUCUAUAUGGCUUGGUUUACAUUCAUAACUUGUGUCUGUAGAUAGGUCAUUAUAUUAACACGAGGACCCGAUGGUCCAGUGAUUAACCUUUCUGGCCUCGGGUUACGAAGUCCUAUGUUCAAGUCCUGUCGAGUCCGGUCAAGCUGUGAAAUAUUGAGCAUUUCUUCCAAGAAAUUGUUAGUGAAAAUCUCAGCUCGGAGUUGAUAAAUUGAUGUUACAGAGAGCACUUUUAAACAAUCGACGAGCUCUAAUGAUAGUUAAUUAAUAUCUAAUAGUCAUCAUUCAUCAUCUAAGCCCACCAUCCAGUAUUAAAACAGCGUGGUGUUCCUAAGCUCAAUAUCAUGCAUUAAAUUCAAUUAUAUGUAUUGUCGAGAAAAAUCAAUUGGCUAAAUAGUCCACGUUCUUAGUUCACGUUACGUUACGUACAAUGCAUGUGUUGUUGGUUGAUUGUUAUGUAAGGCAUUCUUCUUAGUAUUGCUUUAUAUAGCCUGUAUCCAUACACCACACUUUAAACGUAAGUACUCGAUGUAAAUGCUACUGUAUUUGUUUGAUUUAUUGCAGAAAAUAAACACAAUUUGUACCUUGUAAAAAGUGUCAAUGGAGAACUAAUUACACUCUUGAUAAAGUCAUCAGUAUUCUCUUUCAGCGCACUUUCGUUGGAGACCCCACUCGACUAUAUUUGCAGACAUUCAGUUAUUCUUCCCCACUUUCAACCCCCAAAACUUAUAAACGGCUCAACCGAUUUUCAUCAAACAUGUCUAAGAACACUCGUAAAUUGAAAUCGCUUCAUUCGUUCGGGAGCUAUGGUACCACAGACAGACUGACAGACAUGUCAAACUUAUACACCCCUCUGCAUCGGGGGCUAAAAAGGUACAAUUCUGGGAAAGGCUACCCAACGGUUUCACCUGCGUAGUUCCCGUUUCGGUGGGAAUAGCAUAUGACACUAAAAGAUAACGUGGCUUUCUAUUAAGAAAAUAAUUUUCAAAUAUAGUUCAGUAGAUCUAAAAAUUACCUUACAAACUUUACCUGUUUAGGCACAGAAUAAAGAUGAUCCAGAAUGCUCUAAACGCCAUUUGACAAGCAGCGUCGCGAAGCCGGUGAAACCCAUAAAAAAACAAACGUCACGCGUCUCCUAGACAUCUGCAUAUAUACGAAGUUUUUUCGUAAUUUGUAUUUGAAAAUUUAACAUUAACAACAAUUACGUAAAUUGGUAUAGUAAUCAAUAAUUACCAAUAAAAAUAUACUCUAUAUUACUUGUUUAGUUUUAGUGAACAAUUUUUAAAAUAUUUAAGAACAUAAGACACCAUUUUUUGUAUAAUAUUGAAAAUUACUGAUGCGACGCUUAGUGUCGUACUGACUCGAGAAUUUAUCCGUUUUAGAAUUUUGUAUUUGGAGCGCCUACGACACCGCUGUGUUCCGCGCGCUCUAUCUGCCUGUUAUUCUUUAAUCUGUUUAGGUAUUAGAUGUAAACUAUAUUGAUGGAAUGGUAAUUUAUGUUAAUUGCCAUGACAUACGCACGAGUAAUGAUUUUUAAUCGGUUCGACUCUUGGAAAGCAAAUGUGAUGUUUUUUCCAAAUGGUGUUAUAGAAACUGGCCUGACUGGACUCAUGACGUCAAACAAAAAGUCGGAUGUAAUAAUUUUCGAUUCGAUUAGAACAAGAUUUAGAGACCAUACAUACGUCUAUGGCGUACCUGCCUACAAUACGGCUAAAGCUUUUGUUACUAUAACCUUGAAAUUAAGUUCAAAAUUUAUAAAAAAAAAUCAUAUUUUCGUCAUAUUUUAAUGGCCUAUCUGAUGAAUCAUCGCCUCGGGUCUAUUCUACUAAUUUUUUUUUAUUUAUUGUAUAUCAUAAAUCAGCCUAUAUUUUUCUAGUCUCACCAAAUACAAUAACCCAAUUUCAUUCAUAAAAUAUUAAGCAACUAGCGGACGCCCGCGACUUCGUCCGCGUGGAAUUCAGUUUUUUACAAAUCCCGCGGAAACCAUGUAUUAUUCCGGGAUCAAAAGUAAAAAAACAAAUUCAGCCAAAUCCAAACAAUUAUCCAUACAAACUUUCGCAUUUAUAACAAUAAUAGGAAGUAGAAUAGGUCUUAAUUUUAUUAAUUCGUGUAGUGUACAAAUUAUAUUUUACCUCUUAUGCCCAUCUCUAAAUAUUAGCUUUUGAACCAUUAUUUUGUUAUAAGAGAAAUAUAAAAUGUUGUUGUUCAUAAUACAUCAUAGACUUGAAGUCUUGUUCAGUAGGUAAGAUACUGAACAAGACUUCAAGUCUAUGAUGUAUUCGCCCUCUGGAGACACUUGAAAAAUUCACCCGGCCGUUUAGCUGGGCUGCCUCGUAUUAUUAGUAAUGAGAACAUUCUCGGCAUCUAGAGGUCUGUAGGUAUAGAGAUGCUACAUUUUUCUUAAAAGAAAAUUAUAAUAAUUUUAGAAAAAAAGCUUUUUUUUUGUAUUUUUACCGAAUAAAAUAUUAUUCAUUCAUAAGACACUAAGGAUUAUUUUAUGGAUUUGUAAUUUAUGUAGGUACCUAUUAUUUUAUAUUUAUAGUUUAUAUUUAUAGUUUAUUCAUUUGCGUAGUCGAUGUGUCGAUUUUUCGUAAAUAUAACUCAACUUCUGUAACUUUUCAUCCCCUGCUUAACUCCAUUAGUGGUUAGUGACACCACUAAUCAAAGUUAAUUAAAAAGUUCAACAUUAUCAUCCUAAGCCCGCCAUCCAGCAUUUGAAAAGCUUGACAAGUUUAAGCUCAGUUUUCAACAAGUAGGAAUGAAAAAGGAAGAAAUUAUUGCCAAUUAGUAAUUUGAGAUGAAAUUAUAUCGACAUUAAUUAAUACAAGUUAAGGAUUUGUUGUAAAACUAAAUUAUUUAUUUAAAUUUUUUUCCAUACUUCAAAAACGCUGUUGUAGAUUUUCUGACGUCACAAUGUUAUUUGAUGUCACUAGAGGAAUAAACGCCAAACUAAGGCAUGUCGAUUUUUUUUUUUCAUUUUUUUAUUUUUUAUUCUUUACAAGUUAGCCCUUUACAAGUUAAUCUCACUUGAUGGUAAGUGAUGAUGUAAUCUAAGAUGGAAGCGGGCUAACUAGGAUGAAAAUCCACGCUCCUUUCGGUUUCUACACGACAUCGUACCGGAACGCUAAAUCGCUUGGCGGUACGUCUUUGUCAGUAGAGUGGUAAGUAGCCACGGCCGAAGCCUCCCACCAGCUAGACCUGGACCAAUUAAGAAAACCUCAAUCGCCCCAGCCGGGGAUCGAACCCAGGACCUCCGUCAUUAAAUCCACCGCGCGUACCACUGCGCUACGGAGGCCGUCAAAGGUUCUCACAGUCUAAGGUUUGGUGUUUACGGACUACGUGACGCCAUGACAUGGCCCUUUGGCUCGUAUAGAGUAAUAAAUAUUUAAAAAUUGGAAGUUUUAUGUAUUCGCGUCUCAAAAAAUUAUGAUAAUUUAUUUUCAAUCUAGCAGAACGAUACUGAAAAAUUUAAGACCAUUUAAAAAAAAAGUGUCAACAAGCCUAUUGUGGUGGUCACUUUUUUUUCUGAUUGUGUAACUGCCGUAGGCUACAUAAGGGACGUCAGCGGUGUCGGGGAGGGUAAAGGUGGACACCCUGCUUUUAAUCUGUAUUGGGUAAAAUUUGUACAAAACGCUCCUUACGUAACGUGCCGUUAAUAAAUAAUGUUCGGUAUAAAUUCCCAAUUAUUGAUUUGAGAUGAAAGCAUCAAACGUUACCGAGGUGACGAUAGAGCUUGCCGUGCGCCCUUAGGCAUUCCUCAUUCGCACGAGAACUUUUUUAACGGACGUUAAGAAAGCUUUCAAAUACAACAAAUGCAUUCACACGACAGCGUUUUUAAAACACGACGCUUUUUUCAAGUAGUGUUGCAUUUUCAAUUUUGGGCGUUUACAGACGACCUUCAUUUAAUUUCAUACUAUAUUUGAACGAAAAUAUUUGAAAAGUUAAAAUUAUGACAUAAUCUUGACCUAACAAAAGUGCUUGUAAACUAAGCCUAAUUGAAAUAAAUGAAUUUUGAAUUUUGUUACAAAACCUCUCGUGCGAAUGAGGGCUUACAAUAUGAAUAUCGAAAGAGGGUUGAUUUAUCGAGAAUAUUGAUAUGAGUAUGUUUCAUUAUUUGCCGCGCUCUUAUGUCUACACAAACCGUUUAGGGAUUUAUAACAUAAAUGGCGUAUAAUUAGAUUCGGCUCUGGCGUGUCAUUAGACUCGGCUCGUGUUAGACGUAUAAAUCACUAGCUGACGCCGCGCGGCUUCACCCGCGUGGUUCCCGUUCCUGUAAGAAUACGGGGAUAGUAUAUAGCCUGUAGCCUUCCUCGAUAAAUGGGCUAUUUAACACUGAAAGAAUUUUCCAAAUCGGACCAGUAGUUCCUGAGAUUAGCGGUCCAAACAAACAUAGCUUUUUAAAAUUAGUAUAGAUUAAUUUCAUGAAUUAACAAUUAUAUUAUUCAUGUUGGGAUUGACGUUGUGUAUAUUAAUCUAUGUAGCAUCGCAGUUUAGCAGUGCAGUCUCCAGCCGGGAUGAGUAAAAGCAUUUCACCAGCGACGAAAUUUCUUUUUAUGCAGCACGAUUUUAUAAUUAAUUGAAUUAUUUCAAUUAAAUCUUAAUUGUUGUAACAAAUUAGAGGACGAUACAGGGGCGUAGCUACCGCCGUAUCAAUGAUACGGGGUCCCCGGACUAUAGGGGCCCCUGAAAGCAAAAAUUUGUAAAAUGUAACGCACAAUUUCAUUUAAUUUGGUGCUUCCCGAAAAAAAAACAUAAAAAACUGUCUAUGAGUUUUUGCUUUGAAAAUGACAAAAGUCCAAAAACUGUCAUUUUAGAAUUUAAACUAUCGUGAGUGUUAUUCAUAUUAAUUAAUUAUGAAACACGGCUAAAACUCACGUGAUAUUAGGUCGGAAUAUGCUCGACUAGUUUCGAACCCAUACGGGGCCCUUAGUUAUGAGCUGGUUCUUGCAUCGCGGCACGAUCCAGUUUGAAUCGUAUGGGUUCGAAACUAGUCGGGCAUACUCCGACAUAAUAUCACGUGACUUUUAGCCGUGUUUCAUAAUAAAUUAAUAUCACUGUCAUAUUAAUUAUAAGUACGCAUUUUUUUUUCUUUUGUGAGAAAUCUUUACCCUUCAUUUGGGCGCCCCAACAAAUUUGGAUACAGGACCCCUCCAAGGCACGCUACGCCACUGGGACGAUACGUCACAGAUGAUGUGAAAUAGCUGGAAGUGUGACGGGUGCAGCCUUGUACAUGCAAAAACGAUACUAAUUGACCGACAAUUACUACUGUUGUGUUGCCAGUAAACAGAAUACGAGUGAAUCACAAAGUUUACAUACAUUGAAAUGUGAUUACGGUCGGAUAUUGACUGCUAAACAGGCUAGGAAAUUGAUUAAGGCAUAUUGACGACCUCCGUGGCGCAGCGGCAUGCGCGGUGGAUUUACAAGACGAAGGUCCUAGGUUCGAUCCCCGGCUAGGCUGAUUGAGGUUUUCUUAAUUGGUCCAGGUCUGGUUGGUGAGAGGCUUCGGCCGUGGCUAGUUUUUACACUACCGGCACAGAUGUACCGCCAAGCGAUUUAGCGUUCCGGUACGAUGUUGUGUAGAAACCGAAAGGGCUGUGGAUUUUUGUCCUCCUCCUAACAAGUUAGUCCGAUUUCAUCUUAGAUUGCAUCAUCACUUACCAUCAGCAGGCUGAUUAUGUAUCUCGACGUAUCACUUCUAACUGUGUAACGCAAAGCUAAAUGGAACACUAGAGUGUUUUUGCAAUUCCGAUUAUGUAAGACAAAAGACAGCCACAAUGCCUAGUGAUAUCGUUCUAGGCGCAAAAUUUUAUCGACAUUAUGCGACUAAAUAAAAUACACCCUUUCCCGGUACUACUUACUACGGGUGCGGCAUACUUUUGCACAUAUACGCAUUAUACUUGAUUUUGCUGUUUGUCUGUGGUGAAGUGAAGUGCCAUAGUUUCUUUGUUGGUAAACAAAGCCGUAUUAAAAUAUUAAUAAAAAAAUUGGUUUCGUUGGAUCAAAGUACUUGCUACUGCUAGUUUUUUGUUUUCAAUAGAAGUAAUUAAUUAAUCAUUUUAUCGUAUACAUUUUUAUUAGUGUUAAUAGUUAAUUUAUCAAAGUAAACGGCCACUUUUACAUAAAACAUUAUCUACACGAAAGUUCUUCAAAGUUUUAUCGUCUGCCUAUGAUUAAUUUAAUGGUCGUUGUGAUAAUAUGUAAAGUAUAUUUUAUAGUGUUUAUUAUUAAAGUUUAUCGCUUGCAACUAAAGAUGUCCGAGAAACUCAAUGAUCGCCAAUUGGAACUCUAAUUGGAGAUUGCAGAGUGCCACCCAAACUUGGCGAUGGGUUGUUUUGGAGGGCCUUUGGAAAGUCAGGCUACUAAAUAAACCUUCCGUGUUCGCGUCUGCCAGUGGCGUUGUAUCAACAUGAAGAUGUGGGCUCUAAACUUUGAGUGCCAGGGACUGACUAUGGAAGUCUCCAUGUCGCUGGUCACCAUUGAGGUGCAAAACACCUUGAAAAAAUUGGUGAUUCUGAAUCCUUCAUCUCUAUGAACGAUUCAUGAAGAAAGAAUUAAACAAACAUUUAAUGAACAGAUUUUUUAUAAGAUUAUUAUCAAUAAUGACAUUGCAUAUGAGAGAAAAUUGUCAAAUAUAAUUUCAUUUUAAUUUAAUAUAGUUAAUUAUGACAUCACUGUAUAUAAAGAAUAUGAUUAUUAUCAUUUGGUUAAUUUCAGUAUUACAUAGUAUUAGAUAAAAAUUUUAUUGUAAAAUUGCACAUCAAAAUAUGUUUUAUUAUCUAUUAUUAGGAGGAAAUAUUAUUUAACUAUUAUUAUUAUCCCUAAUAGCCCAGUGAAUGUGACUUCUGCCUACAAUUCCAGAGGGUGUGGGUUCGAACCCGUUCCGGGGCACGCACCUCCAACUUUUCAGUUGUGUGCAUUUUAAGAAACUAAAUAUCACGUGUCUCAAACAGUGAAGGAAAACAUCGUGAGGAAACCUGCAUACCAGAGAAUUCUCUUAAUUCUCUGCAUAUGUGAUGUCUGCCAAUGUAAUCCAAAUAUGCUGGCUCAUAUUCGGCUCCUGUCAGAAUGAGAGGGGUUAGGCAUUGGCCUUCCCUUACCUUAUCAGCCGAUAGACGUCCACUGCUGGACAUAGGCCUCUUACAUGGACCUCCAAGCACAACGACCUUGAGCCGCGAACAUCCAAACAACCGACCAACCACGCUUUCCAGUGCGGGGUCUCCCGAGUGCGGGUAGGCACUAACCCCUCUUACUGUGGGAGACUCGAGCUCAGCAGUGAGCCGAAUAUGUGUUUAUAAUGAUGAUGAUGAUGAUGAUGAUUAUUUAAGUAAUUGUAAAAGAAAAAAUUGAAUACUACAUUAGUUGUUUAUCUAUACAAUUCAAUAAUUUUAAGAACAAAACAUGUACCUACCACAUUGUAGGAAAUAAAUAAAUAAUGAUUUGAUUAAAAACAAUGUUGUUUAAUGUUAAGCAGGUAGGGCCAGGUAGUUCUAUAUUUGUGUAACAUCUAUUACUUAAAAAUAAAAAAUAUAUUUACUUGUGUUGGUAUUUUUUAUUCAGACUUGAUAUAUUGUUGUUGACAAAUUUUGUUAUAAUAUAUAUCUUUCAUUCUUUAGUUUAAUUUAAUCAAGAAACGACCCUACUUACACAUAUAGGUACCCCCUCUAACAAAAAUAGACUGAAGUAUAGGUAAAUAUUUAACAAAAAUGUAAAUUAAAAAUUAAUUAUAGAUUAAUUAAAAACAUGACUACAAUUUGAAUUAUCAACUUUAAUAAUUUGCUUCAAAAUAAAAACACAUACGCGUGGCGCAGUAAGUAGUGCUCCUGCAUCCACGGUCAUGGGUUCGAUUCCCACACCUGGAAAAUAUUUGUGUGAAGAGCAUGGGUUUUUUCCAGUGGGUGUGUAUUUAUACAUUAUAUAAGUAUUUAUAGGUAGUAUAUAAAUGUAAAUGAAUAUUAUAAUAUCAACUAUCUUAGUACCCACAACACAAGCUACUCUGUAUGCCUACUUUGGGGCUAGAUAGUGCUUUGUAUGGUUUAAGUAUAAAUAAUUAUACAGAAGGCUUGGUCACGAAAAAAUAUAUCCAGUCCUUUGUCUGCAUAGCUUGAGGGUUCUAGCAACUUGUUAUCAUGGUUUUGAGUGAGGAAUCCUUGGACAAUACUGCCAUCACAAGAAUUACUGUUUUCUGUAUCCAGCCCUUGAUCUAACAGCCAAGUGAAAGCUUCUUUAGGUGUUGGUUGAAACAUUGUUAAGCUCUUCACUUCUUCAAAAUUAUUAGUGAUUCUCCUAGAAAAAUAAAUCAUAAUGUAGGUAUACAUGGUACUGCCCAACAAGUUCUUAUAAAGUAGGUAUAUAAUAUACUGACCUGUGAUAAGUCUCCUCCUUCGGCUGCAUAGCUUGAGGGUUUAGGAAACCAGAGUUCAUGGUUUUGGAGUGAGGAAACAUUUUACAAUAUGCACCCAACUACAAGGCUCCACCGUAUUUCUGACACAGCAAUGUUGUGCAUAUCUUCAUGGGAUCUAGGAGCAGCUCCCAAGAUGGGGGUCAUCAUGCAAACAUUGGUCACCUGAAAGAAUUGAAGUGUGUAUUGCAAUGUAUUAUGUAUUUUGCCUACAUAAAAGUAACAGUUAUAUAUAAUUUAUAGUAUAUAAUUUAUAUUUGGA
Bicyclus anynana (squinting bush brown) is the source of this 11836-nucleotide long non-coding RNA. RefSeq lists it as uncharacterized. NCBI's taxonomy places the organism in Eukaryota, Metazoa, Arthropoda, Insecta, Lepidoptera, Nymphalidae. The transcript has 2 exons. The record is from RefSeq and is a predicted model, not a curated record.